Molecule: ribosomal RNA, 256 nt
Filed under: Salmonella enterica subsp. enterica serovar Typhimurium
Lineage: Bacteria; Pseudomonadati; Pseudomonadota; Gammaproteobacteria; Enterobacterales; Enterobacteriaceae
Description: partial 23S ribosomal RNA
Rfam family: Bacterial large subunit ribosomal RNA
Source: RNAcentral
GUACGUACAAGCAGUGGGAGCACAGGUUUACCUGUGUGACUGCGUACCUUUUGUAUAAUGGGUCAGCGACUUAUAUUCUGUAGCAAGGUUAACCGUAUAGGGGAGCCGGAGGGAAACCGAGUCUUAACUGGGCGUUAAGUUGCAGGGUAUAGACCCGAAACCCGGUGAUCUAGCCAUGGGCAGGUUGAAGGUUGGGUAACACUAACUGGAGGACCGAACCGACUAAUGUUGAAAAAUUAGCGGAUGACCUGUGGCU